UGGGGAAUAUUGCACAAUGGGCGCAAGCCUGAUGCAGCAACGCCGCGUGAACGAUGAAGGUCUUCGGAUCGUAAAGUUCUGUUGCAGGGGAAGAUAAUGACGGUACCCUGUGAGGAAGCCCCGGCUAACUACGUGCCAGCAGCCGCGGUAAUACGUAGGGGGCAAGCGUUGUCCGGAAUUAUUGGGCGUAAAGCGCGCGCAGGUGGUUUAGAAAGUCUGAUGUGAAAGCCCACGGCUCAACCGUGGAGGGUCAUUGGAAACUAAUAAACUUGAGUGCAGGAGAGAAAAGUGGAAUUCCUAGUGUAGCGGUGAAAUGCGUAGAGAUUAGGAGGAACACCGGUGGCGAAAGCGGCUUUUUGGCCUGCAACUGACACUGAGGCGCGAAAGCGUGGGGAGCAAACAGG
This 404-nucleotide ribosomal RNA is filed under the name Verrucomicrobiota bacterium. RNAcentral's name for it is "Verrucomicrobia bacterium partial 16S ribosomal RNA". It matches the Rfam family "Bacterial small subunit ribosomal RNA", at positions 355 to 776 of the family's 1533-position model. Lineage: Bacteria; Pseudomonadati; Verrucomicrobiota. The record is from RNAcentral.